Molecule: non-coding RNA, 243 nt
Organism: Drosophila suzukii
Lineage: Eukaryota; Metazoa; Arthropoda; Insecta; Diptera; Drosophilidae
Source: RefSeq, a predicted model, not a curated record
AGAAAAAAAACCGAGCCAGGAUCAAUUUGAUAUGCGCAUGAGAGGAUGUAGCAAUAUGGCGACAUCAAUCACGUGAGUGGAAGCGAAAAGGAUAUAUUCGAAAUUCGAAUUGGGCUAAUUCGAACAUGUUGUCUCGCUUGCACUAGGAUGCGUUUUAGUGGAUUUUUUGCCACUUGAAUUUUAUUUUGAUGCAGGUCGGACGUGCAUGGUCAGUGUAGUGUUUCUCCAAGUUGAAAAAAACAG